Molecule: ribosomal RNA, 253 nt
Filed under: Polyangiaceae bacterium
Lineage: Bacteria; Pseudomonadati; Myxococcota; Polyangiales; Polyangiaceae
Also listed under: 1 other name
Description: partial 16S ribosomal RNA
Rfam family: Bacterial small subunit ribosomal RNA
Source: RNAcentral
GACAGAGGGUGCAAACGUUGUUCGGAAUUACUGGGCGUAAAGCGCGUGUAGGCUGCUCUGCAAGUCGGAUGUGAAAGCCCUGGGCUCAACCUAGGAAGUGCACUCGAAACUGCAGAGCUUGAGUCCUGGAGAGGAAGGCGGAAUUCUCGGUGUAGAGGUGAAAUUCGUAGAUAUCGAGAGGAACACCGGUGGCGAAGGCGGCCUUCUGGACAGUGACUGACGCUGAGACGCGAAAGCGUGGGGAGCAAACAGG